This 253-nucleotide ribosomal RNA is filed under the name uncultured bacterium. RNAcentral's name for it is "partial 16S ribosomal RNA". It matches the Rfam family "Bacterial small subunit ribosomal RNA", at positions 524 to 776 of the family's 1533-position model. The record is from RNAcentral.
UACGGAGGGGACUAGCGUUGUUCGGAAUUACUGGGCGUAAAGCGCACGUAGGCGGAUUUGUAAGUCAGGGGUGAAAUCCCGGGGCUCAACCUCGGAACUGCCUUUGAUACUGCAAAUCUCGAGUCCGGAAGAGGCGAGUGGAAUUCCCGGUGUAGCGGUGAAAUGCGCAGAUAUCGGGAGGAACACCAAUGGCGAAGGCAGCUCGCUGGGACGGUACUGACGCUGAGACGCGAAAGCGUGGGGAGCAAACAGG